RNAcentral lists this ribosomal RNA (430 nucleotides) under Acroloxus tetensi. Its description in RNAcentral is "partial 16S ribosomal RNA". The record is from RNAcentral. Lineage: Eukaryota; Metazoa; Mollusca; Gastropoda; Acroloxidae.
AGCUAUAAGUAGUUUAUUUUUAGUAAAACCUGCCCAGUGAUUUUUUUAACGGCCGCAGUACCAUGACUGUGCUAAGGUAGCAUAAUAAAUUGGCUUUUAAUUAGAGUCUGGAAUGAAUGGAUUUUUAAAGUUAAGCUGUCAUAAAUAAAUAUUAACUUUAACUUAUUUAUUUGGUGAAAAUACCAAAAUUUUUUUAAAAAGACGAGAAGACCCUAAGAAUUUAUAUUUUUUUUUGUUGGGGCGACAAAAAGACAUUUUUUAACUCUUUGUUUUAUUAUUUAUAUUUAACGAAAUUUUUUAAAAAUUAAACAAAUUACCUUAGGGAUAACAGCAUAAUUAGUUUUUUUCCUGUUUAUGACCUCGAUGUUGGACUAGAAUCUUUUUUAGCUAGCCGCUAAAAAAUAAUGUUCUGUUCCAACNAAUAAUUUCU